Molecule: ribosomal RNA, 472 nt
Filed under: Curvularia verruculosa
Lineage: Eukaryota; Fungi; Ascomycota; Dothideomycetes; Pleosporales; Pleosporaceae
Description: eukaryotic LSU rRNA
Rfam family: 5.8S ribosomal RNA (bases 156-309)
Source: RNAcentral
AUAUGAAGGCCCUUCAAACCGGCUGGAUUAUUUUUCUUCACCCUUGUCUUUUGCGCACUUGUUGUUUCCUGGGCGGGUUCGCUCGCCACCAGGACCACACCAUAAACCUUUUUGUUAAUGCAAUCAGCGUCAGUAAAAAGUAAUAAUUAUUUUACAACUUUCAACAACGGAUCUCUUGGUUCUGGCAUCGAUGAAGAACGCAGCGAAAUGCGAUACGUAGUGUGAAUUGCAGAAUUCAGUGAAUCAUCGAAUCUUUGAACGCACAUUGCGCCCUUUGGUAUUCCAAAGGGCAUGCCUGUUCGAGCGUCAUUUGUACCCUCAAGCUUUGCUUGGUGUUGGGCGUUGUUUGUCUUUGGCCUUGCCCAAAGACUCGCCUUAAAACAAUUGGCAGCCGGCCUACUGGUUUCGCAGCGCAGCACAUUUUUGCGCUUGCAAUCAGCAAAAGAGGUUGGCCAUCCAUCAAGACUACAUU